RNAcentral lists this long non-coding RNA (199 nucleotides) under Lathyrus oleraceus (garden pea). RNAcentral describes it as "Pisum sativum (pea) long non-coding RNA (PSAT_LNC031482)". Lineage: Eukaryota; Viridiplantae; Streptophyta; Magnoliopsida; Fabales; Fabaceae. The record is from RNAcentral.
UCUCCAGGAUUUGUCCAGGGUUUUGUUCCAAGGAAACCUCAGAGUAUUUUGCUUCUCUUCCUUUUUCUCAAGUGAAACCUUGGUAUUUAUAGACUGAAUUUCAUGGCUUUGUGAGCUCAAAUGAGAGAGACCCAAGUCCAAAAUUUUUUCUGUUAUAUUUUAUUUUAUUUAUUUAUUUAAUUAAUUUUUUUUUUAAUUU